UUCCGUAGGUGAACCUGCGGAGGGAUCAUUACUGAGUUUACGCUCUAUAACCCUUUGUGAACAUACCUAUAACUGUUGCUUCGGCGGGUAGGGUCUCCGCGACCCUCCCGGCCUCCCGCCUCCGGGCGGGUCGGCGCCCGCCGGAGGAUAACCAAACUCUGAUUUAACGACGUUUCUUCUGAGUGGUACAAGCAAAUAAUCAAAACUUUUAACAACGGAUCUCUUGGUUCUGGCAUCGAUGAAGAACGCAGCGAAAUGCGAUAAGUAAUGUGAAUUGCAGAAUUCAGUGAAUCAUCGAAUCUUUGAACGCACAUUGCGCCCGCCAGCAUUCUGGCGGGCAUGCCUGUUCGAGCGUCAUUUCAACCCUCAAGCUCUGCUUGGUGUUGGGGCCCUACAGCUGAUGUAGGCCCUCAAAGGUAGUGGCGGACCCUCCCGGAGCCUCCUUUGCGUAGUAACUUUACGUCUCGCACUGGGAUCCGGAGGGACUCUUGCCGUAAAACCCCCCAAUUUUCCAAAGGUUGACCUCGGAUCAGGUAGG
This 538-nucleotide ribosomal RNA is filed under the name fungal sp. SNB-LD6.5.2. RNAcentral describes it as "LSU rRNA". The stretch from base 204 to 357 matches the Rfam family "5.8S ribosomal RNA". The record is from RNAcentral. Lineage: Eukaryota; Fungi.